CCCGUUUGUUAAGGGAGUGACGGGCGAUUUGUGCACAAAAAUAUUUAAAUUUAAUUUGAAAUUUGUUGUUCUUUCUAAAUUAAUAUUAAGUCCUUUAUAUAAUUUUUAAUAUAUGUUUACUUAUAUUAAUUAAAUGUGUUUCACUUCAACUUUAAUAUAAUUUCUGUCUUGAUUUGUCAUUUUAUCUUAAGAUUUUAAGGAGUUUUUCUUUAAAUUAAGUCUGUACAAUGAUAUAGAAAAUUAAAAUUAAAGUUCAUUAUAUCGUGGGUUAUCUAUCAAUGAGCAAAACCCCCUAAUUAAAUUUUUGCCGCCAUUUCAUUUAGAUUUCAUUUCAUUUAAUUACUAUCCUUUUUUUGAUUAAAA
Molecule: ribosomal RNA, 363 nt
Filed under: Calepitrimerus linderanis
Lineage: Eukaryota; Metazoa; Arthropoda; Arachnida; Trombidiformes; Eriophyidae
Description: partial small subunit ribosomal RNA
Source: RNAcentral